RNAcentral lists this ribosomal RNA (316 nucleotides) under uncultured bacterium. RNAcentral describes it as "bacterial SSU rRNA". It matches the Rfam family "Bacterial small subunit ribosomal RNA", at positions 1193 to 1509 of the family's 1533-position model. The record is from RNAcentral.
UCAUGGCCCUUACGGCCUGGGCUACACACGUGCUACAAUGGUCGGUACAGAGGGUUGCCAAGCCGCGAGUGGAGCUAAUCUCACAAAACCGAUCGUAGUCCGGAUCGCAGUCUGCAACUCGACUGCGUGAAGUCGGAAUCGCUAGUAAUCGCGAAUCAGAAUGUCGCGGUGAAUACGUUCCCGGGCCUUGUACACACCGCCCGUCACACCAUGGGAGUGGGUUGCACCAGAAGUAGCUAGUCUAACCUUCGGGAGGACGGUUACCACGGUGUGAUUCAUGACUGGGGUGAAGUCGUAACAAGGUAGCCGUAGGGAA